UUUAGACUUAAGAGCUAUUCAAAUAAGGCACAGCUUAUUUGAAAUAGGACACAACCUACAACAUAGGGUAAACGAGAGUGACCUAAAUAAAGUGGGCCUAAAAGCAGCCACCUUUAGAAAAGCGUUAAAGCUUAACUACCUUCACUCAUAAUGCCUAAAAUCUCCACUAACCCUUCAUUACUACUGAACAAUUUUAUACUCAUAUAAAAGCUAUCAUGCUAGAACUAGUAACAAGAAACUGCUUUUCUCCUAAAUGUAAACAUAAACCAAAAUAGACUCUCUAUUGGUUAUUAACGUAGAUGCUAAACUGUAGCAACACUCACUAGAAAAUCCUAUAAACCCCAACGUUAACCUUACACCAGAACAUUACAGGAAAGAUUAAAAGAAAAAGAAGGAACUCGGCAAAUUUUAGCCUCGCCUGUUUACCAAAAACAUCGCCUCUUGACAAAACAUAAGAGGUCCAGCCUGCCCAGUGACAAAGUUCAACGGCCGCGGUACCCUAACCGUGCAAAGGUAGCACAAUCACUUGUUCUUUAAAUGAGGACUCGUAUCAACGGCACUACGAGGGCUAUACUGUCUCCUUUUUCUAAUCAGUGAAACUGAUCUCCCCGUGAAGAAGCGGGGAUUAUAAUAUAAGACGAGAAGACCCCAUGGAGCUUUAAACUCACCAUGCACCUCUGUGCUCCCAUACCCCUAAACACAACAGACCUGCAUGUUAGUUUUAGGUUGGGGUGACCACGGAGUACAACUUAACCUCCAUAGCAAACGGGCUAAUACCCUUAUCCACGAGACACAACUCUAAGAAUUACUAAACUAAUGCUUACGACCCGAUAUUCGAUCCAUGAACCAAGUUACCCUGGGGAUAACAGCGCAAUCUACUUCAAGAGCCCAUAUCGACAAGUAGGUUUACGACCUCGAUGUUGGAUCAGGGUAUCCCGGUGGUGCGAGCCG
Molecule: ribosomal RNA, 951 nt
Filed under: Rana taihangensis
Lineage: Eukaryota; Metazoa; Chordata; Amphibia; Anura; Ranidae
Description: partial 16S ribosomal RNA
Rfam family: Bacterial large subunit ribosomal RNA
Source: RNAcentral